RNAcentral lists this ribosomal RNA (253 nucleotides) under uncultured bacterium. RNAcentral's name for it is "partial 16S ribosomal RNA". It matches the Rfam family "Bacterial small subunit ribosomal RNA", at positions 524 to 776 of the family's 1533-position model. The record is from RNAcentral.
UACAGAGGUCUCAAGCGUUGUUCGGAUUCAUUGGGCGUAAAGGGUGCGUAGGCGGCCAGGUAGGUCCGUUGUGAAAACUCGAGGCUCAACCUCGAGACGUCGAUGGAAACCAUCUGGCUAGAGUCCGGAAGAGGAGAGUGGAAUUCCUGGUGUAGCGGUGAAAUGCGCAGAUAUCAGGAAGAACACCUAUGGCGAAGGCAGCUCUCUGGGACGGUACUGACGCUGAGACGCGAAAGCGUGGGGAGCGAACAGG